This 338-nucleotide long non-coding RNA is filed under the name Setaria italica (foxtail millet). RNAcentral's name for it is "long non-coding RNA (SITA_LNC006464)". Lineage: Eukaryota; Viridiplantae; Streptophyta; Magnoliopsida; Poales; Poaceae. The record is from RNAcentral.
UUUGCACAUAAAAGAAUCCAGAUACUACAAAUCUAGGAGUACAAUGCAAUGCAGCUUUGCGCAAGGUACGAACACGCUCUGCUCUAGGCGAGGCGACUGGCCUCGCGCAGCCGCGCAGAGAGAAAGAAAUGAGCGGAAAGAUGAUACGCGAGCGGCGGCCGUGCUCCUCGUCGGGGCCCGAGCUCUGACCCGCCCGCGUGACCCGUGUCUGCCCGGCUGCCUGCCCCGCCGCGGCCCACGCACGUCUGCACUGCACGCUCGAGCGGUCGGUCACGGGCUCGGGCGGCCGGCGCAGUGCCGUCCACUCGGCCACUCCGAUCUGACGCAACGCGAGUAGG